RNAcentral lists this non-coding RNA (219 nucleotides) under Erythranthe guttata (spotted monkey flower). RNAcentral describes it as "Mimulus guttatus (spotted monkey flower) Bacterial large subunit ribosomal RNA". It matches the Rfam family "Bacterial large subunit ribosomal RNA", at positions 629 to 852 of the family's 2925-position model. Lineage: Eukaryota; Viridiplantae; Streptophyta; Magnoliopsida; Lamiales; Phrymaceae. The record is from Rfam by way of RNAcentral.
CAUAAGCAGUGGCUUGUUAAGGGAACCCACCAAGCCUUAGCGAAAGCGAGUCUCCGUAGGGCAAUUGUCACUGCUAAUGGACCUGAACCUGAGUGAUCUAUUCAUGAUCAGGAUGAAGUUUUGGGUGAAACUAAAUGGAGAUCCAAACCGACAGAUGUUGAAGAAUCAGCAGAUGAGUUGCGGUUAGGGUUGAAAAGGCCACUCGAACCUAGAGCCAGG